UCGAGGAUCUUCGUCAAUGGGCGAAAGCCUGAACGAGCGACGCCGCGUGUGCGAUGAAGGCCUUCGGGUUGUAAAGCACAAAAGAGAGGAUAAAAGCCGAAAGGUUUGAUUGAUACUCAGUAAGCACGGGCUAAGUUCGUGCCAGCAGCCGCGGUAAGACGAACCGUGCGAACGUUGUUCGGAAUCACUGGGCUUAAAGGGCGCGUAGGCGGGUGAUCAAGUCUGUGGUGAAAUACUCCAGCUCAACUGGAGAACUGCCAUGGAUACUGGUCAUCUCGAGGAAGGUAGGGGCAUGCGGAACUGGUGGUGGAGCGGUGAAAUGCGUUGAUAUCACUAGGAACUCCGGUGGCGAAGGCGGCAUGCUGGACCUUUUCUGACGCUGAGGCGCGAAAGCCAGGGGAGCAAACGGGAUUAGAUACCCCGGUAGUCC
RNAcentral lists this ribosomal RNA (430 nucleotides) under uncultured bacterium. Its description in RNAcentral is "bacterial SSU rRNA". It matches the Rfam family "Bacterial small subunit ribosomal RNA", at positions 355 to 796 of the family's 1533-position model. The record is from RNAcentral.